UACAGAGGUCUCAAGCGUUGUUCGGAUUCAUUGGGCGUAAAGGGCGCGUAGGCGGCCUUCUAAGUCGAACGUGAAAUCCCCGGGCUCAACCCGGGAACUGCGUCCGAUACUGGAAGGCUUGAAUCCGGGAGAGGGAUGCGGAAUUCCAGGUGUAGCGGUGAAAUGCGUAGAUAUCUGGAGGAACACCGGUGGCGAAGGCGGCAUCCUGGACCGGCAUUGACGCUGAGGCGCGAAAGCCAGGGGAGCAAACAGG
This 253-nucleotide ribosomal RNA is filed under the name uncultured bacterium. Its description in RNAcentral is "partial 16S ribosomal RNA". It matches the Rfam family "Bacterial small subunit ribosomal RNA", at positions 524 to 776 of the family's 1533-position model. The record is from RNAcentral.